This 25-nucleotide non-coding RNA is filed under the name Mus musculus (house mouse). The record is from RNAcentral. Lineage: Eukaryota; Metazoa; Chordata; Mammalia; Rodentia; Muridae.
UGUGUGGCACUUUAUAAUCUUCAGG